UAGGGAAUCUUCCGCAAUGGACGAAAGUCUGACGGAGCAACGCCGCGUGAGCGAUGAAGGCCUUCGGGUCGUAAAGCUCUGUUGUUAGGGAAGAACAAGUACGAGAGUAACUGCUCGUACCUUGACGGUACCUAACCAGAAAGCCCCGGCUAACUACGUGCCAGCAGCCGCGGUAAUACGUAGGGGGCAAGCGUUGUCCGGAAUUAUUGGGCGUAAAGGGCUCGUAGGCGGUUUCUUAAGUCUGAUGUGAAAGCCCACAGCUCAACUGUGGAGGGUCAUUGGAAACUGGGGAACUUGAGUGCAGAAGAGGAGAGUGGAAUUCCACGUGUAGCGGUGAAAUGCGUAGAUAUGUGGAGGAACACCAGUGGCGAAGGCGACUCUCUGGUCUGUAACUGACGCUGAGGAGCGAAAGCGUGGGGAGCAAACAGG
RNAcentral lists this ribosomal RNA (429 nucleotides) under uncultured bacterium. Its description in RNAcentral is "bacterial SSU rRNA". It matches the Rfam family "Bacterial small subunit ribosomal RNA", at positions 355 to 776 of the family's 1533-position model. The record is from RNAcentral.